Molecule: ribosomal RNA, 531 nt
Filed under: bacterium A6M_VP8_D11
Lineage: Bacteria
Description: bacterial SSU rRNA
Rfam family: Bacterial small subunit ribosomal RNA
Source: RNAcentral
UACUACGGGAGGCAGCAGUGGGGAAUAUUGCACAAUGGGCGCAAGCCUGAUGCAGCCAUGCCGCGUGUAUGAAGAAGGCCUUCGGGUUGUAAAGUACUUUCAGCAGUGAGGAAGGUGGGUAUGUUAAUAGCAUACUCAUUUGACGUUAGCUGCAGAAGAAGCACCGGCUAACUCCGUGCCAGCAGCCGCGGUAAUACGGAGGGUGCGAGCGUUAAUCGGAAUUACUGGGCGUAAAGCGCAUGCAGGUGGAUGAUUAAGUCAGAUGUGAAAGCCCGGGGCUCAACCUCGGAAUAGCAUUUGAAACUGGUCAUCUAGAGUACUGUAGAGGGGGGUAGAAUUUCAGGUGUAGCGGUGAAAUGCGUAGAGAUCUGAAGGAAUACCGGUGGCGAAGGCGGCCCCCUGGACAGAUACUGACACUCAAAUGCCAAAGCGUGGGGAGCAAACAGGAUUAGAUACCCUGGUAGCCCACCCCGUAAACAAUGUCUACUUGGAGGUUGGGGCCUUGAACCGUGGCUUUCGGAGCUAACGCCU